AUUAGGUAAGUGUCCAUACUCGCACAUUAGCUUUUCACGCUAAAAGAGCACAACGGUGUCCCUAACU
Molecule: transfer RNA, 67 nt
Filed under: Echyridella menziesii
Lineage: Eukaryota; Metazoa; Mollusca; Bivalvia; Unionida; Hyriidae
Description: tRNA-Glu
Source: RNAcentral